UACAGAGGGUGCAAGCGUUGCUCGGAAUCAUUGGGCGUAAAGGGUUGGUAGGUGGUCUCAUUUGUCAGGGGUGAAAUCCUUGGGCUUAACUCAAGAAGUGCCCUUGAAACGGUGAGACUGGAGUCUUGGAGAGGGUCGCGGAAUUCCCGGUGUAGUGGUGAAAUGCGUAGAGAUCGGGAGGAACACCAGAGGCGAAGGCGGCGACCUGGACAAGUACUGACACUCAACAACGAAAGCGUGGGGAGCAAACAGG
Molecule: ribosomal RNA, 253 nt
Filed under: uncultured bacterium
Lineage: Bacteria
Description: partial 16S ribosomal RNA
Rfam family: Bacterial small subunit ribosomal RNA
Source: RNAcentral